RNAcentral lists this ribosomal RNA (497 nucleotides) under uncultured bacterium. Its description in RNAcentral is "partial 16S ribosomal RNA". It matches the Rfam family "Bacterial small subunit ribosomal RNA", at positions 28 to 507 of the family's 1533-position model. The record is from RNAcentral.
GAUGAACGCUGGCGGCGUGCCUAAUACAUGCAAGUCGAGCGAACGGACGAGAAGCUUGCUUUUCUGAUGUUAGCGGCGGACGGGUGAGUAACACGUGGAUAACCUACCUAUAAGACUGGGAUAACUUCGGGAAACCGGAGCUAAUACCGGAUAAUAUUUUGAACCGCAUGGUUCAAAAGUGAAAGACGGUCUUGCUGUCACUUAUAGAUGGAUCCGCGCUGCAUUAGCUAGUUGGUAAGGUAACGGCUUACCAAGGCAACGAUGCAUAGCCGACCUGAGAGGGUGAUCGGCCACACUGGAACUGAGACACGGUCCAGACUCCUACGGGAGGCUGCAGUAGGGAAUCUUCCGCAAUGGGCGAAAGCCUGACGGAGCAACGCCGCGUGAGUGAUGAAGGUCUUCGGAUCGUAAAACUCUGUUAUUAGGGAAGAACAUAUGUGUAAGUAACUGUGCACAUCUUGACGGUACCUAAUCAGAAAGCCACGGCUAACUACGUG